Molecule: non-coding RNA, 175 nt
Organism: Eubacterium sp. CAG:252
Lineage: Bacteria; Bacillati; Bacillota; Clostridia; Eubacteriales; Eubacteriaceae
Source: Rfam
UGAUGCCAAGGGUCGAAAGUUACAAAAAGGCGUUCAUGCUUGCAUGAUAAGACUUUUUGUAAUUUGCGACCCGCUAAAACAUGAGGAAGGAGCGAUUUACGCAGUAAAUCUGCGUAUUCCGAAUGUUUUCAGAAUUGCGGGAGCUGCCUCGCAGCGGAGCAAUUCGUUGGCAUCU